UCAGUCGGCUGGACGGCCGCCCUCGCGUUCCUGGUUUCGCAUGGGAGGAAAGUCCGGGCUCCACGGAAACACGGUGCCGGGUAACGCCCGGCGGGGGUGACCCCAGGGAAAGUGCAACAGAGAACAGACCGCCCGACGUUCGCGCCGGGCAAGGGUGAAACGGUGGGGCAAGAGCCCACCGCGCGACCGGCAACGGAAGCGGCACGGUAAACCCCACCGGGAGCAAGACCGAAUAGGGACGCCGACGCAUCGGUUCUUCGGAACGGAAGCAGGCCCGUUUCCGGGCUGCGGUGUCCGGGUUGGUUGCAACGAGGCGCGCCCGCAAGGGCCGUCCCAGAUGAAUGGCCGUCGAUCGCCUUCCGCUUCGGCAGAGGCGGGGACAGAACCCGGCUUACAGGCCGACUGACAUA
RNAcentral lists this RNase P RNA (410 nucleotides) under Rhizobiaceae bacterium. RNAcentral describes it as "RNase P RNA component class A". It matches the Rfam family "Bacterial RNase P class A". Rfam says of the family: Ribonuclease P (RNase P) is a ubiquitous endoribonuclease, found in archaea, bacteria and eukarya as well as chloroplasts and mitochondria. The record is from RNAcentral. Lineage: Bacteria; Pseudomonadati; Pseudomonadota; Alphaproteobacteria; Hyphomicrobiales; Rhizobiaceae.